Molecule: ribosomal RNA, 228 nt
Filed under: uncultured bacterium
Lineage: Bacteria
Description: partial 16S ribosomal RNA
Rfam family: Bacterial small subunit ribosomal RNA
Source: RNAcentral
UGCGUAGGCGGCCUGACAAGUCAGAGGUGAAAGGCUACGGCUUAACCGUAGUAAGCCUUUGAAACUGACAGGCUUGAGUGCAGGAGAGGAAAGUGGAAUCCCUAGUGUAGCGGUGAAAUGCGUAGAUAUUAGGAGGAACACCAGUGGCGAAGGCGACUUUCUGGACUGUAACUGACGCUGAGGCACGAAAGCGUGGGGAGCGAACAGGAUUAGAUACCCUGGUAGUCC